AUUUUGCUGAAGACGGAGAAAGUAAUUGCUGGCAUCGACUGAAAAGAGAGGGAAAGCCCUGGGCUGAAAGCUUUCCUGCAGAGAACUGCAAUGAACAACACUCCUGAGGUUCUUUACUGAACGGCGCAAUGCGCUUAUUAGGCUAAGACGGUUCCGGCCGUUAUCCGGACAGAGAGGGCGCAGAAACUUGCGUCAACUAGGGUGGAACCGCGGAAGCUAAUUUUUAGCUCUCGUCCCUUGC
This 241-nucleotide non-coding RNA is filed under the name Planococcus rifietoensis. Its description in RNAcentral is "T-box sequence". It matches the Rfam family "T-box leader". Rfam says of the family: Uncharged tRNA acts as the effector for transcription antitermination of genes in the T-box leader family. Lineage: Bacteria; Bacillati; Bacillota; Bacilli; Caryophanales; Caryophanaceae. The record is from RNAcentral.